GUAGGUGGCAAGCGUUGUCCGGAAUUAUUGGGCGUAAAGCGCGCGCAGGCGGGUUCUUUAAGUCUGAUGUGAAAGCCCACGGGCUCAACCGUGGAGGGUCAUUGGAAACUGGAGAACUUGAGUACAGAAGAGGAAAGCGGAAUUCCACGUGUAGCGGUGAAAUGCGUAGAGAUGUGGAGGAACACCAGUGGCGAAGGCGGCUUUCUGGUCUGUAACUGACGCUGAGGCGCGAAAGCGUGGGGAGCAAACAGGAUUAGAUACCCUGGUAGUCCACGCCGUAAACGAUGAGUGCUAAGUGUUAGGGGGUUUCCGCCCCUUAGUGCUGCAGCUAACGCAUUAAGCACUCCGCCCGGGGAGUACGGCCGCAAGGCUG
This 373-nucleotide ribosomal RNA is filed under the name uncultured organism. Its description in RNAcentral is "partial 16S ribosomal RNA". It matches the Rfam family "Bacterial small subunit ribosomal RNA", at positions 527 to 896 of the family's 1533-position model. The record is from RNAcentral.